This 399-nucleotide ribosomal RNA is filed under the name uncultured bacterium. RNAcentral's name for it is "bacterial SSU rRNA". It matches the Rfam family "Bacterial small subunit ribosomal RNA", at positions 30 to 429 of the family's 1533-position model. The record is from RNAcentral.
AUUGAACGCUGGCGGAAUGCUUUACACAUGCAAGUCGAACGGCAGCACGGGAGCUUGCUCCUGGUGGCGAGUGGCGAACGGGUGAGUAAUGCGUCGGAACGUACCGAGUAAUGGGGGAUAACGCAGCGAAAGUUGUGCUAAUACCGCAUACGCCCUGAGGGGGAAAGUGGGGGAUCGCAAGACCUCACGUUGUUCGAGCGGCCGACGUCUGAUUAGCUAGUUGGUGGGGUAAUGGCUCACCAAGGCGACGAUCAGUAGCGGGUCUGAGAGGAUGAUCCGCCACACUGGGACUGAGACACGGUCCAGACUCCUACGGGAGGCAGCAGUGGGGAAUUUUGGACAAUGGGCGCAAGCCUGAUCCAGCCAUGCCGCGUGAGUGAAGAAGGCCUCGGUUGUAAG